Molecule: ribosomal RNA, 702 nt
Filed under: Triticum aestivum (bread wheat)
Lineage: Eukaryota; Viridiplantae; Streptophyta; Magnoliopsida; Poales; Poaceae
Description: partial small subunit ribosomal RNA
Source: RNAcentral
AUGUUCGUUGCCAACUUUACCUACUUGAUAACCUUAAACCUCUCAUUCAAUAGUCUAGAAGAGCAAAUACCCCAGGGAGGUGUUUUCUCAAACCUCUCCUCAGAAUCUUUGAUUGGCAGCGUCGGGCUAUGUGCGGCCACACACCUAAGAUUUCCGCCAUGCCUAUACAGAUCUACCUCAAGUAAAAGACACUUGCUUCAAUUUAUACUCCCAAUAAUUUCUUUAGCAUUUGGCAUCGUAGCCAUUUUUUUAUACCUAUGGACUCAAAAGAAACUUCGGGAAGGAGCUGAAAAAGCUUCCUUUGAUCCAACUGAUGCCAUAGGGCAUCAUAUGGUCUCCUGUCGUGAGCUCAUCCAGGCAACCGAUAAUUUUAGUGAAGAUAGCAUCAUAGGAUCUGGAAGCUUUGGAAAAGUUUUCAAGGGAAGACUAAGCAAUGGCUUGGUUGUGGCAAUAAAAGUUCUUGGCAUGCGGCUAGAGCAGGCCAUCCGAAGUUUUGAUGUCGAGUGUCAAGUGUUACGCAUGGUGCGACACCGCAACCUGGUAAAGGUACUCAACACAUGUUCCAAUCUUGACUUCAGAGCACUAGUGCUUCAGUACAUGCCCAAUGGAAACUUAGAGAUGCUCCUACACCAGUCUCAGAGUACAGGGUGCUUGGAUUUCUUGAGAGGUUGGGAAUCAUGCUCGAUGUGCCGAUGGCAAUGA